CUCGUAGGCGGUUUGUCGCGUCUGCUGUGAAAUCCCGAGGCUCAACCUCGGGCCUGCAGUGGGUACGGGCAGACUAGAGUGCGGUAGGGGAGAUUGGAAUUCCUGGUGUAGCGGUGGAAUGCGCAGAUAUCAGGAGGAACACCGAUGGCGAAGGCAGAUCUCUGGGCCGUAACUGACGCUGAGGAGCGAAAGCGUGGGAGCGAACA
Molecule: ribosomal RNA, 206 nt
Filed under: uncultured bacterium
Lineage: Bacteria
Description: partial 16S ribosomal RNA
Rfam family: Bacterial small subunit ribosomal RNA
Source: RNAcentral